Long non-coding RNA from Lolium rigidum, 2275 nucleotides. RefSeq lists it as uncharacterized. The record is from RefSeq and is a predicted model, not a curated record. The transcript is spliced from 4 exons. NCBI's taxonomy places the organism in Eukaryota, Viridiplantae, Streptophyta, Magnoliopsida, Poales, Poaceae.
UCUUAUUUUCCUAUAUGAUUAUGCAAGCCACUUUAAACUGUAUUUUCAUCAUUGCUUUGCAUACAUCUUUUGUGGACCUUUCAGAUAUUGUUCCCCAUUUGUUACAACCUUACAACACAUCAACCUGGACCGUUGGUUGACUUGAUCCCUACUAUUGGAAAAUGGUACUCUUUAUACAUUUAGAUCUUACUUUUUUCCGUUUCUUUAGUUCUAGCAUGCCUAUACUUGCUCUGGCAUAUCAGUAGCUUGAGAUUUAACUUGCUUCCUUGACAUGUUUAUAUGCUUGAUGUUUUUUUUUCCUUUUUGACAUAGUUUUGGAGGGCCUCAAUCAUAACUUAGCGCCGUGCAUGACAUGCACAAUGCCAUCCCUCCUUCACGUUACAGCUUUGGCUACUAAUCUUAAUCAGCAUAUGUUUGAGUCAACUAACAUUUUGAAGACUAGAAAUUCCUUGGUUACUAUGGGUCAGAUAAAGAUGAUUCAGUCUAUUGGUACUCUUGAGGUCUACAACUCAGACUUACUUCCUAUAGUACUAAGAGCUUCCUCCUAUGCUAACUACUUCUAAUUUUGUGUUAUGGGUAGAUUAUAGUGUCAGCUUGUAUUUGAUGUUUCAUCUUAGAUGAUGUGUAAUAAUGGAACAAUGUUCUUGUGCACCCAGGUGGGACCCCUCCCUGUGUUUGACUAAUGUUAUCCCAGAACCAUGUAUUUGUACAUAUUUACCUACUUUCGGCACUUAUAAGUAGUGUAUUUCUUUAUUUUGCUGUUUGGUUUUACUAUACAUGACAUGAUGUCAUGAUGAUGUGUUCUUUAAACUCCUCUUCAUCUGCUGGCAAUUCUUCUGUAUAUUAAGUAAAAAUAAGGAUGGCUGUUUAAUAUAGCAUUUUACACAACUUUCAUGAGCGUGAAGGGGUGUGGAAGACGGGGUCGUGCACCAAGGCUGCUCAGGUCAUGUGUUAAGAAUGCAGAUUCUUACUAUUUAGCAAAAUCUUCAGUUGACAUACCUGGAGUCUGGAGAUGCAGUUACUUGAGUUUAUUUGUUGCCUAGGUACCUAACUGUGUGAUGGAAGUCACAAUUUUACACCUGAGGAUAUGUUGUAGCUUCAAAUUUUACCAUAACCAUGUGGUCUGUUCGAGGUGUUAAGAUUUCUAAUGAUCCUCAAGCUAGCAAGAGAAAGAAAAACUAACAAGCAUUAGAGCCACGUGAGCACAAUUUUCAUUGUACCAAUUUUGACUUCUUGGGUACUUGCUUCUAUUUUCUUCAGAUUUACUUUUCUUUGUUAUGUUCUUCCUCUCAUUGAUAAAAAAAUCUGCUUCAAUUCUGUUCUCUUCAAUCAUGAAUAAAAAUGCUAUCUCUUCAGCUUUUAAAUAUUAUAAAUUGGUGAUCAAUGUAUGAUACCACACUCUUCUACACAUACAACAUUUCAGUUAGCUAUUAAUCAUCUGAUUAAUGAUUACUGAGAACUUCAGUUAGUGGAUUUUACCUAUUGUACAACAGCUCCUUGGUCACAGCAGUAGAAACGAGGAUGAGCAUCUGUCUCUUCUCAAGGUGUCUAUGACCUUCGACGCCAUGGCGCUUGCCUCCCGUGGCAGUGCAUGUCAAUAGCCUUGAUGGCGGCGGCGACUGUCCAACCUGCAGUCAGGGUCGCAGGUCUGGCAGGCCAGAACCACCAAUCGAUGAUGCCCACCUCGUUCAAGCAAGGGCAGAGAAGCUCACUGCGGUGUCUUCAAUCGUCGAGCUGUCAAGCGGAAGGCUAGGCUCCGACUGUAGUCACCAGUAUUGAUUGGUGGUCACAGUAUCAGCAGAGGCGACAACGAUUGGUGCGCUGAGAAAAAUAGCUGAAACACAAUUUGGAGGGGUGGCGUUUACCGGAUCAGGUCGUCCUGCGGGCGUCGGCAGGCAUCGAGGACGCCAUCAAUUGAUGGUGAUAGAGCUGAGCUCCAAGCUCCAGGGAGUGGAGUGAGAAAGGGGAUCCAGAGAGACGACAUGCCGAUUCCCUGUUUAUAUUGUAUAAUAAAAAGUUAGUCCACAAUGCUAAAAAGCCCACCAGCAUAGGACUAUAGCCCAUGGCAUCAUUAGCAGGUAGCAGCCCAUGUACACCAAAGUGCCAUUUGUUCACACCAAUGUUCACAACAUCACUGCAAUAUAAGAAAGUUCAACUUUGUUAGCUCUCACCACUCUGACCUUCCUCAUAUUUGGGUUCACAUGCAAAGUAUUUUGUGUUACCACCAUGUCAUGUGUGCCGUGUGUGUUGUUUUCUUUUUACCAUGUCAGCUAUU